Long non-coding RNA from Oncorhynchus tshawytscha (Chinook salmon), 316 nucleotides. NCBI's taxonomy places the organism in Eukaryota, Metazoa, Chordata, Actinopteri, Salmoniformes, Salmonidae. The record is from Ensembl.
UGGAUGCUUCUCAAUCCACCCAUGUCGCACUUCCGCAUCUGUGGUGAAAGGUAACAGAACUAGAGCAGUGUUUGUCAGACCAGGAGACAUCCCAUCUGAGGUGACAGAACUAGAGCAGUGUUUAUCAGACCAGGAGACAUCCCAUCUGAGGUGAAAGGUAACAGAACUAGAGCAGUGUUUAUCAGACAAGGAGACAUCCCAUCUGAGGUGAAAGGUGACAGAACUAGAGCAGUGUUUAUCAGACCAGGAGACAUCCCAUCUGAGGUGAAAGGUAACAGAACUAGAGCAGUGUUUAUCAGACCAGGAGACAUCCCAU